GGGGUUCGGGGGCAACGCCACCGAAGCUUAUGAUCUAUAGUUAGUUGGGCUAGCUUUCGGUCAAGUGAAGGCCCAAGGGGCUGGCCGAACUUUCCUUGUUAUUUUUCCAGUUUAUUAGGUCUUAGUCACGGCUAUUAAUAGCCUCAAGCCGCAUGUUACAUUCAGUUUUUGAGAGUAUUGAAUAAAAUUUCCAGAAUUUCGUCCAUUCCUUGUGGGAAAUUCCCUUAGCUUGUAAAAGCUAAGUUGAACAUCCUAGAGUUGAUCCUAGGCUGUUCUUGACUUAUCAAUCAAGCACACAUACUUGAUUGUGGCGUCCUCUACCGUUAAAUCUGUUCUUGAGUGGUCCAAGUUCGGGUUCAACUCCGUCAAAUCUUCAUCGUGUUCCUCUAGAUCCGAAGUAGCUUCCGCGUCUCGUAUCAGCUGGUAUCAGAGCUAGUUAGAGGUAUCACGAAUAUCCUUUUUAUCGUUUUUAGAUCUAUUUUAGUCUUCUAAAUUCGUAGCUCAAGUGCUCGGGUUUGUCAAGUCCGAAAUCUGUCUUUGUUGUUUCCUUGUCAGAAAUCUGUCUUGUUGUUUCCUUGUCAGAAAUCUGUCUUGUUGUUUCCUUGUCAGAAAUCUGUCUUUGUUGUUUAGUUGUUGUCCGAAAUUUUCUGUCCAGUUUUGUCUUGUGUUUAUGUUCUGUUUAAAUCCAGAAAAAAAAAAAAUCUCUUGUGUUGCAUACCUUAUUGUCAUUCCCUUGAGUCGUUGCUGGAAUUAAUUGCUGGGUUGCCGAAUCUGUUUGCACUUGUUUCUUGAACCUUUGUGUUGUUGCUUUGCAAAACUCGAACAUCAAAACCUUAUUGGGGAAGUCUUGAGCUUCUUGGAUCAAAGAGGUUAAUCUUGGCAGUCUUGAAACCUGAAAUAAACCUUCAACCGUGUUCUUGUUUUCAUGGAACUUUGAUCUUGAAACCAAAUCUGUCCAAGUUGUUUACGUUAAUUGCUGUGAAAUUGUGGUCUAAGCUAGCUGGCUAUUGUGUGAAAACACCCCAACAGAAGUCAAAAAAAAAUUUCAAGAAAGACGGCUCUAGUUUCCAAUUCUUGACCAGCCUUCAAGUUUUACCAAAUCUGAUUCAAACUUGGACUUUCAAAUCUGAACAGCCCUAGUCUUGGUCAGCAUUCAAGCCACCAAAUCUGAUUCAAACUUGGACUUCCAAAUCUGAACAACAUCCAAUUCUUGACAGCCUACAAGUUUACCAAAUUUUGUGCAAAAUCUGACUUCCAAAUCUGACCAGCCCCAAAAUUUCGAAUUUGGACCACUUGGGACUCCCAAAUCUGACCAAACUCCAAGGUUUCUAAUCUUGGCAACCCCAAGUGUCCAAAUCAGAUCACGGACCAAAAAGACCACGGACCAGCAGCUCAACACAUUCCAGAAAUUUGGGUUUCGGGUAGAGUUUUCUAGGAUUUUCAAAAUUUCAGCAUUCAAGUUAAUUGUCUUACUUUCUUUUGAGUCGUUAGUUAUUGUCCAGCUAUAUUCUGAGUCUUGAGUCGUGUCUAGGUCUUCAGUCAUUCACCUCCACUUAUUGCUACUAGCUUGUGUGUCACUUGUUGACUAGUCAAGAACGUACACUGCGGUGACGCCUCGUUUGUUCAACUCGAGCAACUAGCAAGCCAAGGAAUUGCUUGGUAAGAUUAUUAGAGAGUGAUACACUUGAGUGAAACACGAGUGUGAGUGACCUAUACAUCGUAUUAAAAAAAAAAAAAAAAAAAGAGAGGAAAUCGUUUUUGUUUAUUUGUUUUGCAGGUGAACUAAAUAUGUCUAGUGGAGUGGGUAGCCAAACCAUGGACAUCAAACUACAGUUGGAAGCCAUGAUGGGGGAGUUCAAACGAUUGCUUAAGAAUGAAAUUGAACCAUUGCAUGAUCGAAUUGAUCAGUUGGAGAACUCGAGACCUCCACCUACCCCGAGUAAGGGCAAAGAAUCGGCAUACUCAAACGAUGAAGAGGAAGCGUUUGAGGGAAGGUACCAAAAUGAUCAAAGGUUCCAACGUCGAGGAGAUGACACCAUUAAAGGUGUCAAACUCAAGAUUCCCUCAUUCCAAGGCAAGUCGGACCCCGAGGCGUACUUGGAAUGCGAACGAAAAAUUGAGUUAGUCUAUGAAUGCCACACCUAUACGGAGGAGCAAAAGGUGAAACUAGCAGCCGUAGAAUUCACUGACUACGCCUCCAUUUGGUGGGACCAACUUAGACUAAGCCGAAGGAGAAAUCGUGAGAGACCUGUGGAAACUUGGGAGGAAAUGAGGAGUCUGAUGAGAAAAAGGUUUGUUCCGAGCUACUAUAGUUGAGAUCUACACCGUCGGCUACAAGCUCUCAACCAAGGGUCCAUGUCAGUUGAGGAUUAUUACAAGGAGAUGGAAAUGGCCAUCAUGAAGGCGGAUUUGCGUGAAGAUGGAGAGGCCACUAUGGCUCGUUUUCUACAUGGAUUGAGGCCCGAGAUUGCCGAAGUAGUGGAACUCCAACACUACCUCGACAUGAAUGAAAUGCUCGAGAAGGCGGUUACAAUUGAACGACGCCUCAAGAGGAGGGGUACUGCGCGACAAAGCACUACUUAUCCAGCUGGAAAUUGGCGCACUUCUCAACCAAAAAGGGAGGAGAAAGCCGCAGCUCCUUCUUACCCUCCAAGGCCGAAUGGCCUCCCUUCCAAGGCAACGCCCAAGCCUGACUUUAAGGCUAAUAAUGCAGCUACCAAACCGCGUGGUCGAGACACCAAGUGUUUUAAGUGUCAAGGAUUUGGCCAUAUCGCUUCUCAAUGCCCCAGCCAAAGGACCAUGCUGAUGUUGCCAAAUGGGGAAAUUGUAUCAGAUGAGGAAGAGGAGUACGAGGGGAUACCGCCUCUAGAAGAGGAAGAGAAUGAAUCGAGUGAGGAGAUACCUACGCAUGAGGAGAUUGGAUGCCUAGUGGUUCGAAAGGUCCUCACUACCCGCGCCAAAGAGGAGGAACUGGAGGUACAACGGGACAACCUUUUCUACACAAGGUGUCAUAUCAAGGAUAAGGUGUGUAGUGUUGUUAUUGAUAGUGAGAGUUGUGCCAAUGUCGCUAGUCUACUCAUGGUAGAAAUGCUAGGGCUCCAAGUUAUCAAACAUCCAAGACCUUAUCGCCUUCAAUGGUUGAACAAUGAAGGGGAAGUCCGCGUGUUUAGACAAGUAAAAGUGCCAUUCCGAAUUGGCAAGUAUGAAGACGAGGUUACUUGUGAUGUCGUGCCAAUGCAAGCAAGUCACCUCAUUCUUGGACGGCCUUGGCAAUAUGAUCGCGAUGUCGAAUUCAAGGGAAGAGCUAAUAAAUAUGUCUUUACUCAUUGCAAUAGAAAGGUGACACUUGUACCUCUCACCCCAAAACAAGUGUAUGAAGAUCAAAUGAGGCUCCAAAGGGAGUAUGAGCUAGAACUUGAGAGGAAAAAGCGAGAGAAAAGUGAGGAAGAAAAAGGAGAGAGUAGGGCCGAAACCCUAGGGAAGAAAAAGGCAACAAGUGGGUCGGCUAUGAGAGAAGAAAAUAAGGGGAAGCUAAGCUUGCUAGCAAAAGCCAAAGAUGUAAGGCGAGCUUUGUCUUCCAACCAACUCUUACUUGUGCUUGUGUGCAAAGAAGAGUUGGUCACUUCAUCCAUACCCACUGACUCCUUGCCUUAUACUAUUUUACCUCUCUUGCAGGAAUUUGAGGACAUAUUUCCUGAGGAUGUACCUGAUGGACUACCACCGCUAAGGGGAAUCGAGCACCAAAUCGAUCUCAUUCCUGGAGCACCAUUGCCUAACAAACCAGCCUAUAGAAUGGGUCCUGAGGAAACAAAGGAAUUGCAAAGGCAAGUGGAGGAAUUGCUAAGGAAAGGUUGGGCUAGAGAAAGUCUAAGUCCAUGCGCUGUACCAGUGAUUCUCGUGCCAAAGAAAGAUGGAGCGUGGAGAAUGUGCACCGACUGUCGAGCAGUCAAUGCAAUCACGGUAAAAUAUCGUCACCCUAUCCCUAGGUUAGAUGAUAUGUUAGAUGAAUUGCAUGGUGCCAUUAUAUUCACUAAAAUUGAUUUGAAAAGUGGUUACCACCAAAUAAGAAUGAAAGAGGGAGAUGAGUGGAAAACCGCUUUCAAAACUAAACAUGGUCUAUAUGAGUGGUUAGUAAUGCCAUUUGGCUUAACUAAUGCACCUAGUACCUUCAUGCGUUUGAUGAACCAUGUUUUGAGACCUUUUCUUGGGAAAUUUGUAGUGGUUUACUUUGAUGAUAUUCUGAUUUAUAGUAGAAGCUUAGAGGAACACUUUGAGCACCUCAAAGCCAUCUUUGCAGUACUUCGAAGGGAAAGGCUAUAUGCCAACCUUAAGAAGUGCACAUUUUGCACUGAUCGUGUUGUGUUUCUAGGAUAUGUUGUAAGUGCGCAGGGCAUUCAUGUAGAUGAAGAGAAGAUUAAGUCCAUCCAAGAGUGGCCAACACCUACCUCUGUAAGUGAUGUGCGCAGCUUUCAUGGAUUAGCAAGCUUCUACCGUCGCUUUGUGAAGGAUUUUAGCACCAUUGCUGCACCUCUUACCGCGGUCAUAAAGAAGAACGAGAAGUUCUUUUGGGGGGAAGCCCAAGAUAAGGCUUUCCAAUUGCUGAAACACAAACUCACACAUGCACCACUCCUUGCAAUACCUAACUUUGAUCUCACUUUUGAAGUGGAAUGUGAUGCAUCAGGUGUAGGAGUAGGAGCCGUACUCAUGCAAGGAGGGAGACCGAUUGCCUACUUUAGUGAGAAAUUAAAUGGCGCGGUCCUCAACUAUUCAACUUAUGACAAGGAGAUGUUUGCCCUCGUACGUGCUUUGGAGACAUGGCAACACUACCUACGUGCCCGGGAAUUCGUCAUCAAAACUGACCAUGAGUCUCUCAAGCACCUAAAAGGACAACAAAAGCUGAGCAAACGGCAUGCCCGAUGGGUAGCCUUCAUCGAGUCUUUUCCAUACGUCAUCAAAUACAAAACAGGUAAGUCUAAUGUAGUAGCUGACGCUUUAUCUCGGAGACACAUUUUGCUCACUGCCUUAGAUGCUAAACUCCUAGGCUUUGAACUCAUGAAGGAGUUGUAUAAGGAUGGCUUGGAUUUUGCCAACGCUUAUGCGAAUUGGGGAAAAUCUGACUUUGAAAAGUUCUUUGUACAUGAUGGGUUCUUAUUUUAUCUUACCAAGCUGUGCAUUCCUCGAGGGUCCAUACGUGACUUACUUAUUCAGGAGUCACAUAGUGGUGGACUAAUGGGACACUUUGGUGUCACCAAGACAUUAGCUGUAUUGCAGGAACACUUCCAUUGGCCUCGCAUGCGCAAGGACGUGGAGAGGAUUGUUGAAAGAUGUGGUGUGUGCCACAAAGCUAAGUCUCGGGUCAACCCAAACGGUUUGUAUACUCCUUUACCCAUACCUCACCACCCUUGGGUUGACAUCUCCAUGGAUUUCGUGCUUGGUUUACCUCGUUCAAAGCGUGGUCAUGACUCUAUAUUUGUUGUGGUAGAUAGGUUCUCCAAAAUGGCUCACUUUAUUGCAUGUCAUAAGACGGAUGAUGCUUUACACAUUGCUGAUUUAUUCUUUAAAGAGGUUGUUCGUUUGCAUGGCAUACCUAGGACAAUAGUAUCCGAUAGAGAUGUCAAGUUUUUGAGCUAUUUCUGGAAAUCUUUAUGGGGUCGGUUGGGAACCAAACUGUUGUUCUCUACCUCUAGUCAUCCUCAAACGGACGGACAAACUGAGGUAGUCAAUAGGACUUUAUCCACACUCCUACGUGCAAUCAUAAAGAAAAAUAUCAAGUCAUGGGAGGAGUGUCUACCUCAUGUUGAGUUUGCAUACAAUAGGGUUGUGCAUAGUGCUACACAAUUCUCGCCUUUUGAAGUUGUGUAUGGUUUGAACCCCUUAACUCCCUUAGAUUUGUUGCCAUUACCUUCUUCUGAGCAUAUGAACUUAGAUGGCAAGAAGAAAGCUGAGUUCGUGAGAUCAUUACACGACAAGGUUCGUACCAACAUCGAGAGGAGGACGGCCCAAUAUGUCCAACAAGCUAAUAAGCACAGGCGCAAGCUUGUCUUUGAACCAGGUGAUUGGGUCUGGUUACAUUUGCGCAAGGAGAGGUUUCCAAAACAACGGCAAAGCAAGCUGUCACCAAGAGGAGAUGGGCCUUUUCAAGUUAUUGAGCGCAUCAACGACAAUGCAUACCGCUUAGAUCUGCCUGGUGAGUAUACUGUUAGUGCUACAUUCAAUGUUGCUGAUCUAAGUCCAUUUAUUGCAGGGGACGAGUACGAUUUGAGGGCAAAUCCUUUUCAAGAGGAGGGGAAUGAUGCGGUUGAGCACGAGGCCCAAAGUGUACAAGUAGACCCUGUGAAGGUGCCCCAAGGCCCAGUGACACGAGCACGAGCCAAGAGAUUCAAGGAGUCCCUUCAAGCCUUGGUACGUGCAGUCCAAACCCAAGAGAAACCGGUCAUUGAAGGAAUUGAGUUGGAAUAUCCUUGCACGACUACUAAAAUGCUGCUUACAAUUGAAGAUGCAAAUGUUCAAGCUCCAAACGGCGGGCUUAGCCGCAGUUAAGUACCCUCGCUGAGCCGUACGGGGGUCUCGCUGUCCGAUCAGCGAGUCGGGGGUCCAAGGGGGCGACGCGCCCCUGGCUUGGGGGCCCGGGGGCGCAGCGAAGCCCCCGGUGGGGGUUCGGGGCAACGCCACCGAAGCUUAUGAUCUAUAGUUAGUUGGGCUAGCUUUCGGUCAAGUGAAGGCCCAAGGGGCUGGCCGAACUUUCCUUGUUAUUUUUCCAGUUUAUUAGGUCUUAGUCACGGCUAUUAAUAGCCUCAAGCCGCAUGUUACAUUCAGUUUUUGAGAGUAUUGAAUAAAAUUUCCAGAAUUUCGUCCAUUCCUUGUGGGAAAUUCCCUUAGCUUGUAAAAGCUAAGUUGAACAUCCUAGAGUUGAUCCUAGGCUGUUCUUGACUUAUCAAUCAAGCACACAUACUUGAUUGUGGCGUCCUCUACCGUUAAAUCUGUUCUUGAGUGGUCCAAGUUCGGGUUCAACUCCGUCAAAUCUUCAUCGUGUUCCUCUAGAUCCGAAGUAGCUUCCGCGUCUCGCAUCAGCGUUACAACCUACGAAAACAAAAUAACCUUCAACUUGAAACAAUUCAGAAAUCGGGUAAAGAACUAAGGGUACAUUAUUAAUUAAAUGGUAAGAAGGUGUAGAACAAGAUUUAAAUGAGAAAACUCCCUUUGACACUUCGAUAUUCCUUCCACCAAUUGAUUCAACUUGAGAUUCCAGUGCUAGUCCUUGACAUUUCUCAUCAACACCUACAUAAGAGCAACAAGAGUUAGUGCUAGUAACAUGCUCAAAAUAAGGCAAAGGUGAUGAAUGAACCAUAGGUAAAGAACAAGAAGUAGAAUCUGGAAUUUCCCUUUUAAGAUGAGCUCGAAUGAAUCCUCCAAUGGCGCGGACAGAUUUGAUUGGACAUUGUUCCAUGAAUUGAUACCAAAGAGAUUUAGUUCCUAAAAGACAAACUCCAUGGAAACUCACAAAGUGUCCAGGUGACUUCGGGAUGGAACAUGCCAUGACCAACUCUACUUGACUUUGUUUAACCUGCACAAACGAGGAUAUACUAAACAAAACACAUGUUAUCUGGUUAGCAAACAAAGUGUUCACACGUUCAAUGUUUGCAGACAUGGUCAACUCUUUUUCUUGACUCUUCACUAAGGCCAAAUUGUUCUUGCUUAUCCCCACUCCCUUCUUCUCGGACCAUUGAUCCUUCAUUGCACUUGAGUUUUGUUUUUCAUUGGGGAGCUCUUGUUCACAGCUCGGCAGCAACUCAUUCGUACGUGGCUCUUCAAUCAACAAGGGACUAGACUGAAUUUUUCCUUUAUUACCACCAGUUGGCACAUGGUUAAGUUGCUCCAAGUGUGAAUCCAGCACUUGGCUAAGUCUUUCCAUCAUGUCAUCAAUCAAUGUUAUUCUGACUUCGGAAUUUUUCCUUUGAUUCUCGAAGCUUUGACUCAAUUCGAGAAUUCUCAAACUCCACGUCUUGAUUGUCAAGACACUUCUUAGAUGCACCUCGUUUGCUUGAAGUUGACCUCGAUUUAGAUGCUCUACGCAGACUUCUUUGCUCCUUCUCAUACUCAUCACAAUCUUGUUAUACCUUUCAUAUACACACAAAGCACGGUGGCGCUGCAUCUCCUCCCGGAGUGAAUGAUACCCACGUUGUGAACUGGAUGUCAUGGAACUAGAGUACUUGAGAGUAGCCUGCUUGGAACCCUUCUCUUGAGAGGCUCAUCCUCCAAGAAUUCUUGGUUGUAUGAGUAAGAGGCAACUUCCCUAGGCAUGAUUAUGUGACCUGCAAAAAUGGUUAGCAAAGAAAAGGAAUUUUCCUCACGUCACACAAGCUCACGUGUAUGUGCUCAUCCCUCGUGUAUCUCUUGAAGCGUUCUAAUGGACUUACCAAAUACCUUUACCUGUUGGAUUAGGUAGUUGAGAAAUGCUGCUCAAGUCCAACACUGUUACCACCUUUCCACAAGUGUAAACAGAAUGUAAGAGAAAAAGUAGGAAAGUGUUCCUAAAAUCUAGGAGAAAAUAUAGGAGCAAAUGUAGGAGAAAAUGUAGGAAAGUUUCCUAAAAUCUAGGAAGAGAAUAUAGGAGAUUUUCCUAAAGUGGAUGAGAGAAUAUAGGAAAGGUCCUAAAAAUGGAUGAGAGAAUUUGAGGAGAGUUUCCUAAAAAAUGGAUGAGAGAAUUUAGGAAAGUUUCCAAAAAAUAGAUGAGAGAGUUUUAGGAAAAUUUCCUAAAAAUGGAUGAAUGGAUGAGAGAAUUUAGGAAAGUUUCCAAAAAAAUGGAUGAGAGAGUUUUAGGAAAAUUUCCAAAAAAAAUGGAUGAGAGAAUUUAGGAAAGUUUCCUAAAAAUGGAUGAGAGAAUUUAGGAAAGUUUCCAAAAAAAAUGGAUGAGAGAGUUUGGGAAAGUUUCCUAAAAAGGUAGGAGAGAGAGUGUCCAAGUGAGUACAAAGAGUUAUCCAAGUGCUUUACUUAGUUUCCUAAUUGAUUUUGGAAACAAGUUAGUUUUUGGAAACCUUUUGAAAAUCCUUUUCCUCUUGAGCAACUUUUGGUAACCUUCUUGAAACAACUUUUGGUAAUCUUCUUGAAACAACUUUUGGUAACCUUCUUGAAACAACUUUUGGUAACUUCCAAAUUCUAUUCCAAGAAAGAUUGCACAAAUCAGAUUUGGUUCCCUAUUCAAAACAAUUCGGUUGCCCCUUUCUUUCCUUUCCUUUUUUUUUCUUGCCAACCGAUUCCUUUUUUUUUCUUUUUUUUUCGUUUUUGUUUUCUGUUUUUUUUUCUUGACUACAACUAUCAACCACGACACAAAACAAGGAAGUCCCCAAAUAAUAACUACCAAGAACUCCAAGAUCUUUCAAGAACUUCCAAGGAAGUUGUCAGGAACUUCAGAAAUUUCAAGAUUGUGGUCAAGAAUUCAAGAAGCUCAAGACUAUUGUAAGUUCUCUUCAAGAUUCACAAAAUUCCAACAAGUUUUGCCAAAAAUCCAGAUUUGAAAACCAAGUAAACAAGUUGGAUAACACAAACAACAAGGCUGGACAGAUUUGUAUUCGGAUGAACAGUAACUAUGAACAGUGUCGGUGAACAUUACCUGUGAACAGUGUCGGUGAACAGUACCGGUGAACAGUGACUCUUUUUUUUUUUUUUUUUAAGGCAGCGGAAAGUACUAAGAAUUCUACGACACAACUACGAAAAAUAUGGAUAUAACGAAAGAUACCUCUACCAAAGCUCUGAAGCCAACUGAUACGUUCCUCGAUCAACUUGUUUCGAGACACGUAGCACGUUUGCCCAAGGAUCUAGCGAGGAUGUCCAACGCUUGGAAUUGCGGGAUCUAGAACCAAACGGACGACACGAUUUGAUUCAAGACGGUAGACGACACUCCGAUGAAGGUGAAUACACCAGGGGAAUAGGUCGGUAGAACAAUCUAGGACAGGACGCAAGACUGCUCAAAACCCUUGCCAAAGCAAGUAAAGGGGUCGAAUCUCUCUCUCAAGAAGAAUCGAAAAUAUGCAAAACUUUAUUGAUAAAACGUCCACCUUUAUGCUUACAAAGCAAGCCUUUAUAUAGGCAAAACUAAUGAAACCCUAAUAUCGCAAGGCUAGAGGGUCGGCCACUCUUUGGACAAGGUGGGCCGGCCCAUGGACUCAAUAAAAAGGGCCUAGUGGUUCGGCCAUCCUUAGACAAAGGUGGGCCGAAUCCAUGGCUAACAAAAAGGACUAAUAUAAACUUAAGGCUCCUAACACUAAGGCCUAAUCGGCCAUGGCCCACUUGGCUCUUCACGGGCUCUCUUCACGGGCUUGGAUCAUCGUGUAGACAACUGGGUUAUCACCUUCCAAGCCUUCAAUGUCUCGAUGAACUCCUUGUUGGUCUUGAACAUUCCGCACAAGGGCUUGGAGUGAUUCCUUGAAUUGCUUAGCCCGUGCACGUGUGACUGGGCCCAAUGGGACAAGGUGGGCCAAGGUCCGUGCACACAUCAUCAAGGGAGCACACCUAGGGGUAUACAUGACAAAUCACCUACCGCACCUACCACUAGGAAGCACAACAUGAUUAUUAAGGCUAAAGAUGUUAGAAAAGUGGUGAACUCUAAUCAGCCUAUACUUCUCAUGAUUUGCAAGCAUGUGCUCUUGGAUGUUGCUGAGCUCGACAAGGCGUUGCCUGCGAGCAUAGUUGCUCUUUUGCAAGAAUUUGAGGAUGUUUUCCCUGACGAGGUCCCUGAUGGCUUACCACCCAUUCGGGGAAUUGAACACCAAAUCGACCUCAUUCCUGGAGCACCAUUGCCCAACAAACCUGCUUACCGCAUGGGCCCUGAGGAGACCAAGGAGCUUCAAAGGCAAGUUGAUGGCCUCUUAGGUAAGGGUUGGGUAAAGGAAAGUCUAAGUCCUUGCGCUGUGCCUGUGAUACUUGUUCCCAAAAAGGACGGUACUUGGCGCAUGUGCACUGACUGUCGGGCUGUGAACGCUAUCACUGUCAAAUAUCGUCAUCCCAUUCCUAGACUUGAUGAUAUGCUUGAUGAACUCGAUGGUGCCAUUAUUUUCACCAAAAUAGACUUAAGGAGCGGCUAUCAUCAAAUUCGGAUGAAAGAGGCGACGAGUGGAAAACAGCCUUCAAAACCAAACAUGGUCUCUAUGAGUGGCUAGUCAUGCCUUUUGGCUUAACUAAUGCCCCUAGCACCUUCAUGCGACUAAUGAACCAUGUGUUGAGACACUUUAUUGGCAAGUUUGUCAUUGUUUACUUUGAUGACAUCCUGAUCUAUAGUCAUAGUGAGCAUGAGCACCUAGAGCAUGUGAGAUUAGUUCUUGAGACACUUCGACAGGCGCAUCUUUACGCCAACCUCAAGAAGUGCACCUUUUGUACUAACGAGCUUGUGUUUUUAGGCUAUGUGGUAAGUUCGCAGGGCAUCAAGGUGGACAAAUCCAAGAUUGAGGCCAUCGAGCAAUGGCCAACUCCCACAUCCGUCCCUGACGUGCGCAGCUUUCUUGGAUUGGCGGGCUUUUACCGGCGCUUUGUCAAAGAUUUUAGCACCAUUGCCGCCCCGUUGACCGCCGUGACAAAGAAGAAUGACAAGUUCCACUGGGGAGAAUCACAAGAACAAGCAUUUCUCGCCCUCAAGGACACACUCACACAUGCACCUGUGUUAGCAUUACCAAAUUUUCACAAGACUUUUGAAAUUGAAUGUGAUGCUUCUGGUGUAGGUAUUGGAGCGGUCCUCAUGCAAGACAAGAGGCCUUGUGCCUUCUUCAGUGAGAAACUGGGGGGAGCUGCAUUAAACUACCCCACGUACGACAAGGAGUUGUACGCUUUAGUGAGGGCUUUGGAGACUUGGCAACACUAUCUUCGCCCUCGGGAGUUCGUGAUACACACUGAUCACGAGUCAUUGAAGUACCUCAAGGGACAACCCAAGUUAAGCAAGCGACAUGCCAAAUGGGUAAGCUUCAUUGACACCUUUUCGUAUGUCAUUAAGUAUAAGAUUGGCAAAACGAAUGUAGUGGCUGAUGCAUUAUCACGUAAGACAUUCGUUGCUUGCCCUUCUGGAUGCCAAGUUACUAGGGUUCGAAAUGGUUAAGGAACUCUACACAAAUGAUCAUGACUUUGGUGAUAUCUAUGUUGCUUGUGUUAAGAACCCGCAUGGAAAAUACUUCUUGCAUGAUGGAUUUCUAUUCCAUGUAGAUAAACUGUGUGUACCUAAUUCUUCCAUUCGCGAUCUUUUGAUUCGAGAGGCACAUAGUGGUGGUCUCAUGGGCCACUUUGGCAUCACCAAGACUCUGGCCAUGUUACAAGAGCACUUUUACUGGCCUCAUAUGCGUAGAGAUGUUGAACGCAAGGUUGGUAGAUGUGCUACUUGUCACAAGGCAAAGUCUAAGACAAAUCCAUAUGGCUUGUAUACCCCCGUUACCUAUCCCUCACCAUCCUUGGGUUGAUUUGUCUAUGGACUUUGUAUUAGGAUUGCCUAGAUCAACAAGGGGUAAUGACUCCAUCUUUGUUGUGGUUGAUAGAUUCUCUAAGAUGGCUCAUUUUAUUCCUUGCCACAAAACUGACGAUACAUCUCAUAUUGCUAAUCUGUUCUUCAAAGAAAUUGUCCGUCUGCAUGGCCUGCCUAAAACUAUUGUCAGUGAUAGAGAUGUGAAAUUCUUGAGUUACUUUUGGAAGACUUUGUGGUCCAAACUGGGCACUAGGUUAUUAUUCUCCCCACUAGUCAUCCACAAAGCGAUGGACAAACUGAAGUUGUCAAUCGCACACUUGGCACUUUGCACUCUCUCGGGCCUUGAUUAAAAAGAAUCUUAAGACUUGGGAAGAGUGCCUCCCUCAUGUUGAAUUCACCUACAAUCAAACUGUGCAUAGUGCCACACAAUACUCCCCCUUUGAGAUUGUUUAUGGCUUCAACCCCGUAACCCCCCUUGAUUUGGUGCCCUUACCUUCCUCUGAGCACACAAGCUUAGAUGGGAAAAAGAAAGCUGAUUCUGUGCGCAGGUUACAUGAGGCCGUGCGAGCAAACAUUGAGAAGCGUACGCAGCAAUACAUCCAGCAAGCCAACAAGCACCGUCGCAAGAUGAUUUUUGAGCCUGGAGAUUGGGUUUGGCUACACUUGAGGAAAGAGCGAUUUCCCAAGCAACGCCAAAAGCAAAUUGUCCCCAAGAGGUGAUGGACCAUUUCGGGUACUCCAACGAGUCAAUGACAACGCAUACAAGUUGGAGCUACCUGGGGAGUACAAUGUUAGUGCAACCUUCAACGUCACGGACCUAAGCCCAUUUCUUGACGAGGAGGAUCCAGAUUUGAGGGCAAAUCCUUCUCAAGAGGAGGGGACUGAUGUGUGCACGAGUCUCAGCCCAUGCAAUGACCCAGUCCGAGUUCCAUUGGGCCCAGUCACACGUGCACGGGCCAAGCUCUUCAAAGAACUCGUGCCAAAGAAAGAUGGAGCGUGGAGAAUGUGCACCGACUGUCGAGCAGUCAAUGCAAUCACGGUAAAAUAUCGUCACCCUAUCCCUAGGUUAGAUGAUAUGUUAGAUGAAUUGCAUGGUGCCAUUAUAUUCACUAAAAUUGAUUUGAAAAGUGGUUACCACCAAAUAAGAAUGAAAGAGGGAGAUGAGUGGAAAACCGCUUUCAAAACUAAACAUGGUCUAUACGAGUGGUUAGUAAUGCCAUUUGGCUUAACUAAUGCACCUAGUACCUUCAUGCGUUUGAUGAACCAUGUUUUGAGACCUUUUCUUGGGAAAUUUGUAGUGGUUUACUUUGAUGAUAUUCUGAUUUAUAGUAGAAGCUUAGAGGAACACCUUGAGCACCUCAAAGCCAUCUUUGCAGUACUUCGAAGGGAAAGGCUAUAUGCCAACCUUAAGAAGUGCACAUUUUGCACUGAUCGUGUUGUGUUUCUAGAAUAUGUUGUAAGUGCGCAGGGCAUUCAUGUAGAUGAAGAGAAGAUUAAAUCUAUCCAAGAGUGGCCAGCACCUACUUCUGUAAGUGAUGUGCGCAGCUUUCAUGGAUUAGCAAGCUUCUACCGUCGUUUUGUGAAGGAUUUUAGCACCAUUGCUGCACCUCUUACCGCGGUCAUAAAGAAGAACGAGAAGUUCUUUUGGGGGGAAGCCCAAGAUAAGGCUUUCCAAUUGCUGAAACACAAACUCACACAUGCACCACUCCUUGCAAUACCUAACUUUGAUCUCACUUUUGAAGUGGAAUGUGAUGCAUCAGGUGUAGGAGUAGGAGGCGUACUCAUGCAAGGAGGGAGACCGAUUGCCUACUUUAGUGAGAAAUUAAAUGGCGCGGUCCUCAACUAUUCAACUUAUGACAAGGAGAUGUUUGCCCUCGUACGUGCUUUGGAGACAUGGCAACACUACCUACGUGCCCGGGAAUUCGUCAUCAAAACUGACCAUGAGUCUCUCAAGCACCUAAAAGGACAACAAAAGCUGAGCAAACGGCAUGCCCGAUGGGUAGCUUUCAUCGAGUCUUUUCCAUACGUCAUCAAAUACAAAACAGGUAAGUCUAAUGUAGUAGCUGACGCUUUAUCUCGGAGACACAUUUUGCUCACUGCCUUAGAUGCUAAACUCCUAGGCUUUGAGCUCAUGAAGGAGUUGUAUAAGGAUGACUUGGAUUUUGCCAACGCUUAUGCGAAUUGGGGAAAAUCUGACUUUGAAAAGUUCUUUGUACAUGAUGGGUUCUUAUUUUAUCUUACCAAGCUGUGCAUUCCUCGAGGGUCCAUACGCGACUUACUUAUUCAGGAAUCACAUAGUGGUGGACUAAUGGGACACUUUGGUGUCACCAAGACAUUAGCUGUAUUGCAGGAACACUUCCAUUGGCCUCGCAUGCGCAAGGACGUGGAGAGGAUUGUUGAAAGAUGUGGUGUGUGUCACAAAGCUAAGUCUCGGGUCAACCCAAACGGUUUGUAUACUCCUUUACCCAUACCUCACCAACCUUGGGUUGACAUUUCCAUGGAUUUCGUACUUGGUUUACCUCGUUCAAAGCGUGGCCAUGACUCUAUAUUUGUUGUGGUAGAUAGGUUCUCCAAAAUGGCUCACUUUAUUGCAUGUCAUAAGACGGAUGACGCUUUACACAUUGCUGAUUUAUUCUUUAAAGAGGUUGUUCGUUUGCAUGGCAUACCUAGGACUAUAGUAUCCGAUAGAGAUGUCAAGUUUUUGAGCUAUUUUUGGAAAUCUUUAUGGGGUCGGUUGGGAACCAAACUGUUGUUCUCUACCUCUAGUCAUCCUCAAACGGACGGACAAACUGAAGUAGUCAAUAGGACUUUAUCCACACUCCUACGUGCAAUCAUAAAGAAAAAUAUCAAGUCAUGGGAGGAGUGUCUACCUCAUGUUGAGUUUGCAUACAAUAGGGUUGUGCAUAGUGCUACACAAUUCUCGCCCUUUGAAGUUGUGUAUGGUUUGAACCCCUUAACUCCCUUAGAUUUGUUGCCAUUACCUUCUUCUGAGCAUAUGAACUUAGAUGGCAAGAAGAAAGCUGAGUUCGUGAGAUCAUUACAUGACAAGGUUCGUACCAACAUCGAGAGGAGGACGGCCCAAUAUGUCCAACAAGCUAACAAGCACAGGCGCAAGCUUGUCUUUGAACCAGGUGAUUGGGUCUGGUUACAUUUGCGCAAGGAGAGGUUUCCAAAACAACGGCAAAGCAAGCUGUCACCACGAGGAGAUGGGCCUUUUCAAGUUAUUGAGCGCAUCAACGACAACGCAUAUCGCUUAGAUCUGCCUGGUGAGUAUACUGUUAGUGCUACAUUCAAUGUUGCUGAUCUAAGUCCAUUUAUUACAGGGGACGAGUACGAUUUGAGGGCAAAUCCUUUUCAAGAGGAGGGGAAUGAUGCGGUUGAGCACGAGGCCCAAAGUGUACAAGUAGACCCUGUGAAGGUGCCCCAAGGCCCAGUGACACGAGCACGAGCUAAAAGAUUCAAGGAGUCCCUCCAAGCCUUGGUACGUGCCAUCCAAACCCAAGAGAAACCGGGCAUUGAAGGAAUUGAGUUGGAAUAUCCUUGCACGACUACUAAAAUGCUGCUUACAAUUGAAGAUGCGAGUGUUCAAGCUCCAAACGGCGGGCUGAGCCGCAGUUAAGUACCCUCGCUGAGCCGUACGGGGGUCUCGCUGUCCAGUCAGCGAGUCGGGGGUCCAAGGGGGCGACGCGCCCCUGGCUUGGGGGCCCGGGGGCGCAGCGAAGCCCCCGGUGGGGGUUCGGGGGCAACGCCCCCGAAGCUUAUGAUCUAUAGUUAGUUGGGCUAGCUUUCGGUCAAGUAUAGGGGCAAGGGGCUGGCCGAACUUUCCUUGUUAUUUUUCCAGUUUAUUAGGUCUUAGUUACGGCUAUUAAUAGCCUCAAGCCGCAUGUUACAUUCAGUUUUUGAGAGUAUUGAAUAAAAUUUCCAGAAUUUCGUCCAUUCCUUGUGGCAAAUUCCCUUAGCUUGUGAAAGCUAAGUUGAACAUCCUAGAGUCGAUCCUAGGCUGUUCUUGACUUAUCAAUCAAGCACACAUACUUGAUUGUGGCGUCCUCUACCGUUAAAUCUGUUCUUGAGUGGUCCAAGUUCGGGUUCAACUCCAUCAAAUCUUCAUCGUGUUCCUCUAGAUCCGAAGUAGCUUCCGCGUCUCGCAUCAGCGUUACAACCUACGAAAACAAAAUAACCUUCAACUUGAAACAAUUCAGAAAUCGGGUAAAGAACUAAGGGUACAUUAUUAAUUAAAUGGUAAGAAGGUGUAGAACAAGAUUUAAAUGAGAAAACUCCCUUUGACACUUCGAUAUUCCUUCCACCAAUUGAUUCAACUUGAGAUUCCAGUGCUAGUCCUUGACAUUUCUCAUCAACACCUACAUAAGAGCAACAAGAGUUAGUGCUAGUAACAUGCUCAAAAUAAGGCAAAGGUGAUGAAUGAACCAUAGGUAAAGAACAAGAAGUAGAAUCUGGAAUUUCCCUUUUAAGAUGAGCUCGAAUGAAUCCUCCAAUGGCGCGGACAGAUUUGAUUGGACAUUGUUCCAUGAAUUGAUACCAAAGAGAUUUAGUUCCUAAAAGACAAACUCCAUGGAAACUCACAAAGUGUCCAGGUGACUUCGGGAUGGAACAUGCCAUGACCAACUCUACUUGACUUUGUUUAACCUGCACAAACGAGGAUAUACUAAACAAAACACAUGUUAUCUGGUUAGCAAACAAAGUGUUCACACGUUCAAUGUUUGCAGACAUGGUCAACUCUUUUUCUUGACUCUUCACUAAGGCCAAAUUGUUCUUGCUUAUCCCCACUCCCUUCUUCUCGGACCAUUGAUCCUUCAUUGCACUUGAGUUUUGUUUUUCAUUGGGGAGCUCUUGUUCACAGCUCGGCAGCAACUCAUUCGUACGUGGCUCUUCAAUCAACAAGGGACUAGACUGAAUUUUUCCUUUAUUACCACCAGUUGGCACAUGGUUAAGUUGCUCCAAGUGUGAAUCCAGCACUUGGCUAAGUCUUUCCAUCAUGUCAUCAAUCAAUGCUUUAUUCUGACUUCGGAAUUUUUCCUUUGAUUCUCGAAGCUUUGACUCAAUUCGAGAAUUCUCAAACUCCACGUCUUGAUUGUCAAGACACUUCUUAGAUGCACCUCGUUUGCUUGAAGUUGACCUCGAUUUAGAUGCUCUACGCAGACUUCUUUGCUCCUUCUCAUACUCAUCACAAUCUUGUUUAUACCUUUCAUAUACACACAAAGCACGGUGGCGCUGCAUCUCCUCCCGGAGUGAAUGAUACCCACGUUGUGAACUGGAUGUCAUGGAACUAGAGUACUUGAGAGUAGCCUGCUUGGAACCCCUUCUCUUGAGAGGCUCAUCCUCCAAGAAUUCUUGGUUGUAUGAGUAAGAGGCAACUUCCCUAGGCAUGAUUAUGUGACCUGCAAAAAUGGUUAGCAAAGAAAAGGAAUUUUCCUCACGUCACACAAGCUCACGUGUAUGUGCUCAUCCCUCGUGUAUCUCUUGAAGCGUUCUAAUGGACUUACCAAAUACCUUUACCUGUUGGAUUAGGUAGUUGAGAAAUGCUGCUCAAGUCCAACAACUGUUACCAACCUUUCCACAAGUGUAACCACAAGAAUGUAAGAGAAAAAGUAGGAAAGUGUUCCUAAAAUCUAGGAGAAAAUAUAGGAGCAAAUGUAGGAGAAAAUGUAGGAAAGUUUCCUAAAAUCUAGGAAGAGAAUAUAGGAGAUUUUCCUAAAGUGGAUGAGAGAAUAUAGGAAAGGUCCUAAAAAUGGAUGAGAGAAUUUGAGGAGAGUUUCCUAAAAAAUGGAUGAGAGAAUUUAGGAAAGUUUCCAAAAAAUAGAUGAGAGAGUUUUAGGAAAAUUUCCUAAAAAUGGAUGAAUGGAUGAGAGAAUUUAGGAAAGUUUCCAAAAAAAUGGAUGAGAGAGUUUUAGGAAAAUUUCCAAAAAAAAUGGAUGAGAGAAUUUAGGAAAGUUUCCUAAAAAUAGAUGAGAGACCUUAGGAAAGUUUCCAAAAAAAAUAGAUGAGAGAGUUUGGGAAAGUUUCCUAAAAAGGUAGGAGAGAGAGUGUCCAAGUGAGUACAAAGAGUUAUCCAAGUGCUUUACUUAGUUUCCUAAUUGAUUUUGGAAACAAGUUAGUUUUUGGAAACCUUUUGAAAAUCCUUUUCCUCUUGAGCAACUUUUGGUAACCUUCUUGAAACAACUUUUGGUAAUCUUCUUGAAACAACUUUUGGUAACCUUCUUGAAACAACCUUUGGUAAUCUUCUUGAAACAACUUUUGGUAACUUCCAAAUUCUAUUCCAAGAAAGAUUGCACAAAUCAGAUUUGGUUCCCUAUUCAAAACAAUUCGGUUGCCCCUUUCUUUCCUUUCCUUUUUUUUUUCUUGCCAACCGAUUCCUUUUUUCUUUCUUUUUUUUUUCGUUUUUGUUUUCUGUUUUUUUUUUCUUGACUACAACUAUCAACCACGACACAAAACAAGGAAGUCCACAAAUAAUAACUACCAAAAACUCCAAGAUCUUUCAAGAACUUCCAAGGAAGUUGUCAGGAACUUCAGAAAUUUCAAGAUUGUGGUCAAGAAUUCAAGAAGCUCAAGACUAUUGUAAGUUCUCUUCAAGAUUCACAAAAUUCCAACAAGUUUUGCCAAAAAUCCAGAUUUGAAAACCAAGUAAACAAGUUGGAUAACACAAACAACAAGGCUGGACAGAUUUGUAUUCGGUGAACAGUAACUAUGAACAGUACGAUGAACAGUGUCGGUGAACAGUACGGUGAACAGUGACUUUUUUUUUUUUUUGAACAAGGCAGCGGAAAGUACUAAGAAUUCUACGACACAACUACGAAAAAUAUGGAUAUAACGAAAGAUACCUCUACCAAAGCUCUGAAGCCAACUGAUACGUUCCUCGAUCAACUUGUUUCGAGACACGUAGCACGUUUGCCCAAGGAUCUAGCGAGGAUGUCCAACGCUUGGAAUUGCGGGAUCUAGAACCAAACGGACGACACGAUUUGAUUCAAGACGGUAGACGACACUCCGAUGAAGGUGAAUACACCAGGGGAAUAGGUCGGUAGAACAAUCUAGGACAGGACGCAAGACUGCUCAAAACCCUUGCCAAAGCAAGUAAAGGGGUCGAAUCUCUCUCUCAAGAAGAAUCGAAAAUAUGCAAAACUUUAUUGAUAAAACGUCCACCUUUAUGCUUACAAAGCAAGCCUUUAUAUAGGCAAAACUAAUGAAACCCUAAUAUCGCAAGGCUAGAGGGUCGGCCACUCUUUGGACAAGGUGGGCCGGCCCAUGGACUCAAUAAAAAGGGCCUAGUGGUUCGGCCAUCCUUAGACAAAGGUGGGCCGAAUCCAUGGCUAACAAAAAGGACUAAUAUAAACUUAAGGCUCCUAACACUAAGGCCUAAUCGGCCAUGGCCCACUUGGCUCUUCACGGGCUCUCUUCACGGGCUUGGAUCAUCGUGUAGACAACUGGGUUAUCACCUUCCAAGCCUUCAAUGUCUCGAUGAACUCCUUGUUGGUCUUGAACAUUCCGCACAAGGGCUUGGAGUGAUUCCUUGAAUUGCUUAGCCCGUGCACGUGUGACUGGGCCCAAUGGGACAAGGUGGGCCAAGGUCCGUGCACACAUCAUCAAGGGAGCACACCUAGGGGUAUACAUGACAAAUCACCUACCGCACCUACCACUAGGAAGCACAACAUGAUUAUUAAGGCUAAAGAUGUUAGAAAAGUGGUGAACUCUAAUCAGCCUAUACUUCUCAUGAUUUGCAAGCAUGUGCUCUUGGAUGUUGCUGAGCUCGACAAGGUGUUGCCUGUGAGCAUAGUUGUUCUUUUAGAAGAAUUUGAGGAUGUUUUCCCUAACGAGGUCCCUGAUGGCUUACCACCCAUUCGGGGAAUUGAACACCAAAUCGACCUCAUUCCUGGAGCACCAUUGCCCAACAAACCUGCUUACCGCAUGGGCCCUGAGGAGACCAAGGAGCUUCAAAGGCAAGUUGAUGGCCUCUUAGGUAAGGGUUGGGUAAAGGAAAGUCUAAGUCCUUGCGCUGUGCCUGUGAUACUUGUUCCCAAAAAGGACGGUACUUGGCGCAUGUGCACUGACUGUCAGGCUGUGAACGCUAUCACUGUCAAAUAUCGUCAUCCCAUUCCUAGACUUGAUGAUAUGCUUGAUGAACUCAAUGGUGCCAUUAUUUUCACCAAAAUAGACUUAAGGAGCGGCUAUCAUCAAAUUCGGAUGAAAGAAGGCGACGAGUGGAAAACAGCCUUCAAAACCAAACAUGGUCUCUAUGAGUGGCUAGUCAUGCCUUUUGGCUUAACUAAUGCCCGUAGCACCUUCAUGCGACUAAUGAACCAUGUGUUGAGACACUUUAUUGGCAAGUUUGUCAUUGUUUACUUUGAUGACAUCCUGAUCUAUAGUCGUAGUGAGCAUGAGCACCUAGUGCAUGUGAGAUUAGUUCUUGAGACACUUCGACAGGCGCGUCUUUACGCCAACCUCAAGAAGUGCACCUUUUGUACUAACGAGCUUGUGUUUUUAGGCUAUGUGGUAAGUUCGCAGGGCAUCAAGGUGGACAAAUCUAAGAUUGAGGCCAUCGAGCAAUGGCCAACUCCCACGUCCGUCCCUGACGUGCACAGCUUUCUUGGAUUGGCGGGCUUUUACCGGCGCUUUGUCAAAGAUUUUAGCACCAUUGCCGCCCCGUUGACCGCCGUGACAAAGAAGAAUGACAAGUUCCACUGGGGAGAAUCACAAGAACAAGCAUUUCUCGCCCUCAAGGACACACUCACACAUGCACCUGUGUUAGCAUUACCAAAUUUUCACAAGACUUUUGAAAUUGAAUGUGAUGCUUCUGGUGUAGGUAUUGGAGCGGUCCUCAUGCAAGACAAGAGGCCUUGUGCCUUCUUUAGUGAGAAACUGGGGGGAGCUGCAUUAAACUACCCCACGUACGACAAGGAGUUGUACGCAUUAGUGAGGGCUUUGGAGACUUGGCAACACUAUCUUCGCCCUCGGGAGUUCGUGAUACACACUGAUCACGAGUCAUUGAAGUACCUCAAGGGACAACCCAAGUUAAGCAAGCGACAUGCCAAAUGGGUAAGCUUCAUUGACACCUUUUCGUAUGUCAUUAAGUAUAAGAUUGGCAAAACGAAUGUAGUGGCUGAUGCAUUAUCACGUAGACAUUCGUUGCUUGCCCUUCUGGAUGCCAAGUUACUAGGGUUCGAAAUGGUUAAGGAACUCUACACAAAUGAUCAUGACUUUGGUGAUAUCUAUGUUGCUUGUGUUAAGAACCCGCAUGGAAAAUACUUCUUGCAUGAUGGAUUUCUAUUCCAUGUAGAUAAACUGUGUGUACCUAAUUCUUCCAUUCGCGAUCUUUUGAUUCGAGAGGCACAUAGUGGUGGUCUCAUGGGCCACUUUGGCAUCACCAAGACUCUGGCCAUGUUGCAAGAGCACUUUUACUGGCCUCAUAUGCGUAGAGAUGUUGAACGCAUGGUUGGUAGAUGUGCUACUUGUCACAAGGCAAAGUCUAAGACAAAUCCAUAUUGCUUGUAUACCCCAUUACCUAUCCCUCACCAUCCUUGGGUUGAUUUGUCUAUGGACUUUGUAUUAGGAUUGCCUAGAUCAACAAGGGGUAAUGACUCCAUCUUUGUUGUGGUUGAUAGAUUCUCUAAGAUGGCUCAUUUUAUUCCUUGCCACAAAACUGACGAUGCAUCUCAUAUUGCUAAUCUGUUCUUCAAAGAAAUUGUCCGUCUGCAUGGCCUGCCUAAAACUAUUGUCAGUGAUAGAGAUGUGAAAUUCUUGAGUUACUUUUGGAAGACUUUGUGGUCCAAACUGGGCACUAGGUUAUUAUUCUCCACCACUAGUCAUCCACAAAGCGAUGGACAAACUGAAGUUGUCAAUCGCACACUUGGCACUCUACUUCGGGCCUUGAUUAAAAAGAAUCUUAAGACUUGGGAAGAGUGCCUCCCUCAUGUUGAAUUCACCUACAAUCAAACUGUGCAUAGUGCCACACAAUACUCCCCCUUUGAGAUUGUUUAUGGCUUCAACCCCGUAACCCCCCUUGAUUUGGUGCCCUUACCUUCCUCUGAGCACACAAGCUUAGAUGGGAAAAAGAAAGCUGAUUCUGUGCGCAGGUUACAUGAGGCCGUGCGAGCAAACAUUGAGAAGCGUACGCAGCAAUACAUCCAGCAAGCCAACAAGCACCGUCGCAAGAUGAUUUUUGAGCCUGGAGAUUGGGUUUGGCUACACUUGAGGAAAGAGCGAUUUCCCAAGCAACGCCAAAAGCAAAUUGUCCCCAAGAGGUGAUGGACCAUUUCGGGUACUCCAACGAGUCAAUGACAACGCAUACAAGUUGGAGCUACCUGGGGAGUACAAUGUUAGUGCAACCUUCAACGUCACGGACCUAAGCCCAUUUCUUGACGAGGAGGAUCCAGAUUUGAGGGCAAAUCCUUCUCAAGAGGAGGGGACUGAUGUGUGCACGAGUCUCAGCCCAUGCAAUGACCCAGUCCGAGUUCCAUUGGGCCCAGUCACACGUGCACGGGCCAAGCUCUUCAAAGAAUCACUCCAAGCCCUGGUUCGAGUCGUCCAAGACCAACAUGGAGUUCACAAAGAUAUUGAGGGCUUAGAGAGAGACAAUCAAGCCAUUUGCACCAUGAUCGAAGCCCACGAAGACUCAAGUGGGCCUUCAAGUGGACCGGCCCUAUAGGGCCUUAGCCUUAGUAUUUGAUAGAUUGGAUUAAUUUGUCUCCAUAGCUCAUUGGGCCGGCCCAUCUUGGACACCAAGAUGGCCAAACUCUUUGCCAUUGUUUCCUUAGGUUUUCUUAAAUAGGCUUGCUUUGUAAGGUUUUAGGGUAGUCGUUUUAUCAAUAAAAUUGGUUUAAUUCGUUCCUUCUUCUAAGAAGAGAGUUCGAGCACUUUAACUUGCUUUGGCAAGGGUUAUUGAGCAAUCUUGCGUCCUGUCCUCGAUUGUUCAUCCGACCUAUUCCCCUAGAGUAUUCACCUUCAUCAGAGUGUCGUCUACCACCUAAAUCAAAUCGUGUCGUCCGUUUGAUUCUAGGUCCCGCAAUCUAAGCGUUGGACAACAUCGCUAGAUCCUUGGGCAAACGUGCUACGUGUCUCGAAACAAGUUGUUAGACUCGAGCAACAUUUCUCAACUACCUAAACCAACAGGUAAGGUACUUGGUAAGUUUUGUAGAGCGACUUGAGCACUAUACACGAGAAAGAAAGAUACACUCAGGGAGUGAAGUGAGGAUUACAUUUGCACUUUCUUUGCUUGUUACUAACCUUUGCAGGGGCAUCAAGCGAGACAUGGAGCAACAAGCAACCACCGAUCACUCCUUGUUGUUCGCCGCAAUGAAGAAUGAGCUAAGGCGAAUCAGUGAACAACAAAUGGAGACGUUACACACUCGUUUUGACGAGUUGUCCAGGAGUCUUACACGAGGCUCUCGUUCUAGAUCCCACAAUCGGAGUAACCACAACACCAAAGAGGCAAAUGGCGAAGAUUACUCCGCUAGUGAGGAUGAGGGGCGACCCGAGAGGUCUACAAGGGACACGCCCAAGAACGAACUCAAGGGGCUUAAGAUUCAAGUCCCCGCAUUCAAAGGCAAAAGUGACCCUGAAUCUUACUUGGAGUGGGAAGGCCGUAUCGAGAUGGUCUUCGACUGCUACGACUACAGUGAGGAACAAAAGGUUAAGGUUGCCACCGUGGAGUUCACCGACUACGCACUAGUCUGGUGGGACCAAGUAAGGACCAAUAGGAGGAGGAUGGGAGAGCCACGUGUCCGGACUUGGCGCGAACUCAAGGCACUGCUGCGCAAGCGAUUUGUUCCUAGCUAUUACAAUCGUGAUCUCCACUCUAAGCUUCAAACUCUCACGCAAGGCAACAUGAGUGUGGAGGACUACUACAAAGAAAUUGAGAUGGCCAUGAUGAGGGCCAACAUUCAAGAAGACAAUGAGGCCAUGAUGGCUCGGUUUCUUAGAGGUCUCAAUCCUGACCUUCAAGAAGCCUUGGAGCUCCAACAUUACUUGGACAUGCACGACCUUCUAGAACUCGCUAUUAAGGCCGAGCGGGGGAAGAAACUAAGACGCGGAGUACGUACGUUCCAAACUUCUAACACCACUUCAUGGAGGGGCAACCAACCACGAAGGGCAACCCACGAAGUUGGAAAUGCGGCAGCACCAACCUCUUCUAAUCGAAUCCAAGGUAACACCUCUAACCGCCAUUCCUAUUCUACCCCUAACAAGGUUUCCAAUGCAUCCAGGUCCACUUCAAAGGCACCGCAUGAGACUCCUAAGAAGAAUCGAAAAAUAUGCAAAACUUAUUGAUAAAACUGCUACCUUCAAACCUUACAAAACAAGCCUAUUUAUAGGCUAAGGGUUACUAAAACCUAAGGAAAACAAGGAAGAGAAAUUCGGCCAUCUUGGGGUCAAGAUGGGCCGGCCCAUGUUCUACUAAAUCACUUAAUCCAACUCUAUUAGUCACUAAGGCCUAAUGCCCUAAUCAGCCAACUCUCUUGGAGGUCCACUUAUCAUGGUGUAGACAACUCGAUUGUCUCCUUCGAAGCCUUCAAUAUCUCUAUGGACUCCAUGUUGGUCUUGGACAAUACGGACAAGGCCUUGGAGGGUUUCUUUGAAGAGCUUGGCUCGUGCACGUGUGACUGGACCUAAUGGAACUCGGACCGGAUCAUUGCGUAGGCCCUGCUCCGUGCACACAUCAUUUGCUUUAUUUACAUUAUGUGUUUUGCAUGCUUGUGUGUUACGUGUUAUUCGCUUCCUUAGGAUCUUGCAUCUAGAUAUCAUGCUUAUGUGCUAUGUGUUUUAUAUGAUAUUGCGUGUUUACUUUGAUGCGGUUGAGCACGAGGUCCAAAGUGUUCAAAUAGACCCUGUGAAGGUGCCCCAAGGCCCAGUGACACGAGUACGAGCUAAGAGAUUCAAGGAGUCCCUCCAAGCUUUGGGCUGUGCCGUCCAAGCCCAAGAGAAACCGGCCAUUGAAGGAAUUGAAUUGGAAGAUCCUUGCACGACUACUAAAAUGUUGCUUACAAUUGAAGAUGCAAGUGUUCAAGCUCCAAACGGCGGGCUGAGCCGCAGUUAAGUACCCUCGCUGAGUCGUAUGGGGAUCAAGCACACACACUUGAUCCUAGGCUAUUCUUGACUUAUCAAUCAAGCACACACACUUGAUUGUGGCAUCCUCUACCGUUAAAUCUGUUCUUGAGUGGUCCAAGUUCGGGUUCAACUCCAUCAAAUCUUCAACGUGUUCCUCUAGAUCCGAAAUAGCUUCCGCGUCUCGCAUCAACUGGCAUCAGAGCUGGUUAGAGGUAUCAUGUAUAUCCCUUUUUUUAUUGUUUUAGAUCUAUUUUAGUCUUCUAAAUUCGUAGCUCAAGUGCUCGGGUUUGUGAAGUCCGAAAUCUGUCUUGGUUGUUUCCUUGUCACAAAUCUGUCUUUGUUGUUUAGUUAUUGUCCGAAAAUUUCUGUCCAGUUUUGUCUUGUGUUUAUGUUCUGUUUAAAUCCAAAAAUCUGUUGUGUUGCAUACCUUAUUGUCAUUCCCUCGAGUCGUUGCUGGAAUUAAUUUGCUGGGAUGCCGAAUCUGUUUGCACUUGUUUCUUGAACCCUUUGUGUUGUUGCUUUGCAAAACUCGAACAUCAAAACCCUAUUGGGGAAGUCUUGAGCAUCUUGGAUUACCAGAGGUUAAUCUUGGCAGUCUUGAAACCUGAAAUAAACCUUUAACCGUGUUCUUGUUUUCAUGGAACUUUGAUCUUGAAACCAAGUCUGUCCAAGUUGUUUACGUUAAUUGCUGUGAGAUUGUGGUCUAAACUGCCUGGCUAUUGUGUGAAAACACCCCAAUAGAAGUAAAAAAAAAAAUUCAAGAAAGAUGGCUCUAGUUUCCAAUUCUUGACCAGCCUCCAAGUUUUACCAAAUCUGAUUCAAACUUGGACUUCCAAAUCUGAACAGCCCUAGUCUUGGUCAGCCUUUAAGCCACCAAAUCUGAUUCAAACUUGGACUUCCAAAUCUGAACAACCUCCGAUUCUUGACCAGCAAAAAAAAAAAAAAUCGGCUACAACAAAGGUCAAAGAAAUCCUAAGUUUCCUACUCUUGACAGCCUACAAGUUUUACCAAAUUUGGUGCAAAAUCUGACUUCCCCAGCCCCAAAAUUUUGAAUUUGAACCACUUGGGACUCUCAAGUCUGACCAAACUCCAAGGUUUCCAAUCCUUGGCAACCCCAAGUGUCCAAAUCAGAUCAAACUUUCCAAUUUCUGAAUCUUGAAUUCUUGAAUUUUCCUAAAACCGUUGGAGCAAUUGUGACACCCGAUUGGGCUGAGUUUUGGGUAGUAGAUUGCCCAUUAUUUGAGCAGCCUAAGGCCACCCAAAAUACUCCAAAACCCUUACCAAAAAGACCACGGACCAGCAGCUCAACAAAUUCCAGAAAAUUGGGUUUCGGGUAGAGUUUUCUAGGAUUUUCAAAAUUUCAGCGUUCAAGUUAAUUGUCUUACUUUCUUUUGAGUCGUUAGUUAUUGUCCAGCUAUAUUCUGAGUCUUGAGUCCUGUCUAGGUCUUCAUUCAUUUACCUCCAUUUAGUGCUACUAGCUUGUGUGUCACUUGUUGACUAGCCAAGAACGUACAUUGCGGUGACGCCUAGUUUGUUCAACCCGAGCAACUAGCAAGCCAAGGAAUUGCUUGGUAAGAUUAUUAGAGAGUGAUACACUUGAGUGAAACACGAGUGUGAGUGACCUAUACAUUAUAUUAAAAAAAAAAAGAGAGAGAGAGGAACUCGUUUGUUUAUUUGUUUCACAAGUGAACUAACUAUGUCUAGUGGAGUGGGUAGCCAAACCAUGGACAUCAAACUACAGUUGGAAGCCAUGAUGGGGGAGUUCAAGCGAUUGCUCAAGAAUGAAAUUGAACCAUUGCAUGACCGGAUUGAUCAGUUGGAGAACUCGAGACCUCCACCUAACCCGAGUAAGGGCAAAGAAUCGGCAUACUCAAACGAUGAAGAGGAAGCGUUUGAGGGAAGGUACCAAAAUGAUCAAAGGUUCCAACGUCGAGGAGACGACACUUAAAGGUGUGAAACUCAAGAUUCCCUCAUUCCCAGGCAAGUCGGACCCCAAGGCGUACUUGGAAUGGGAAUGGAAAAUUGAGUUAGUCUAUGAAUGCCACACCUAUACGGAGGAGCAAAAGGUGAAACUAGCAGCCGUAGAAUUCACUGACUGUGCCUCCAUUUGGUGGGACCAACUUAGAUUAAGCCGAAGGAGAAAUCGUGAGAGACCUGUGGAAACUUGAGAGGAAAUGAGGAGCCUGAUGAGAAAAAGGUUCGUUCCGAGCUACUAUAGCCGAGAUCUACACCGUCGGCUACAAGCUCUCAACCAAGGGUCCAUGACAGUUGAGGAUUAUUACAAGGAGAUGGAAAUGGCCAUCAUGAAGACGGAUUUGCGUGAAGAUGGAGAGGCCACUAUGGCUCGUUUUCUACAUGGAUUGAGGUCCAAGAUUGCUGAAGUAGUGGAACUCCAACACUACCUUGACAUGAAUGAAAUGCUCGAGAAGGCGGUCACAGUUGAACUGCGCCUCAAGAGGAGGGGUAGUGCGCGACAAAGCACUACUUAUCAAGCUGGAAAUUGGCGCACUUCUCAACCAAAAAGGGAGGAAAAGGCUGCAGCUCCUUCUCACCCUCCAAGGCCGAAUGGCCUCCCUUCCAAGGCAACGGCCAAGCCAGACUUUAAGGUUAGUAAUGGAACUCCCAAACCGUGUGGCCGAGACACCAAGUGCUUUAAGUGUCAAGGAUUUGGCCAUAUCGCUUCUCAAUGCCCCAGCCAAAGGACCAUGCUCAUGUUGUCAAAUGGGGAAAUUGUAUCGGACGAGGAAGAGGAGUACGAGGGGAUGCCACCUCUAGAGGAGGAAGAAAAUGAAUCGAGUGAGGAGAUACCUACGCAUGAGGAGAUUGGAUGCCUAGUGGUUCGAAAGGUCCUUACUACCCUCGCCAAGGAGGAGGAAAUGGAGGUACAAUGGGACAACCUUUUCUACACAAGGUGUCAUAUUAAGGAUAAGGUAUGUAGUGUUGUUAUUGAUAGUGGGAGUUGUGCCAAUGUAGCUAGUCUACUCAUUGUAGAAAUGCUAGGGCUCCCAGUUAUCAAACAUCCAAAACCUUAUCGCCUUCAAUGGUUGAACAAUGAAGGGGAAGUCCGUGUGUUUAGACAAGUAAAAGUGCCAUUCCGAAUUGGCAAGUACGAAGACGAGGUUACUUGUGAUGUCGUGCCAAUGCAAGCAAGUCACCUCAUUCUUGGACGGCCUUGACAAUAUGAUCGCGAUGUCGAAUUCAAGGGAAUAUGUCUUUACUCAUUGCAAUAGAAAGGUGACACUUGUACCUCUCACCCCAAAACAAGUGUAUGAAGAUCAAAUGAGGCUCCAAAAGGAGUAUGAGCUAGAACUUGAGAGGAAAAAGCGAGAGAAAAGUAAGGAAGAAAAAGGAGAGAGUAGGGCCGAACCCCUAGGGAAGAAAAAGGCAACAAGUGGGUCGGCUAUGAGAGAAGAAAAUAAGGGGAAGCUAAGCUUGCUAGCAAAAGCCAAAGAUGUAAGGCGAGCUUUGUCUUCCAACCAACUCUUACUUAUGCUUGUGUGCAAAGAAGAGUUGGUCACUUCAUCCAUACCCACUGACUCCUUGCUUUCUACUAUUUUACCUCUCUUGCAGGAAUUCGAGGAUAUAUUUCCUGAGGAUGUACCUGAUGGACUACCAUCGCUAAGGGGAAUUGAGCACCAAAUUGAUCUCAUUCCUGGAGCACCAUUGCAUAACAAACCGGCCUAUAAAAUGGGUCCUGAGGAAACAAAGGAAUUGCAAAGGCAAAUGGAGGAAUUGCUAAGGAAAGGUUGGGCUAGAGAAAGUCUAAGUCCAUGCACUGUACCAGUGAUUCUCGUGCCAAAGAAAACUGGAGAGUGGAGAAUGUGCACCGACUGUCGACCAGUCAAUGCAAUCACGGUAAAAGAUCGUCACCCUAUCCCUAGGUUAGAUGAUAUGUUAGAUGAAUUGCAUGGUGCCAUUACCACCAAAUAAGAAUGAAAAAGGGAGGUGAGUGGAAAAUCGCUUUCAAAACUAAACAUGGUCUAUACGAGUGGUUAGUAAUACUAUUUGGCUUAACUAAUGCACCUAGUACCUUCAUGCGUUUAAUGAACCAUGUUUUGAGACCUUUUCUUGGGAAAUUUGUAGUGGUUUGCUUUGAUGAUAUUCUGAUUUAUAGUAGAAGCUUAGAGGAACACCUUGAGCAUCUCAAAGCCAUCUUUGAAGUACUUCGAAGGGAAAGGCUAUAUGCCAACCUUAAGAAGUGCACAUUUUGCACUGAUCGUGUUGUGUUUCUAGGAUAUGUUGUAAGUGUGCAGGGCAUUCAUGUAGAUGAAGAAAAGAUUAAGGCCAUCCAAGAGUGGCCAACACCUACCUCUGUAAGUAAUGUGCGCAGCAGCUUUCAUGGAUUAGCAAGCUUCUACCGUCGUUUUGUGAAGGAUUUUAGCACCAUUGCUGCACCUCUUACCGCAGUCAUAAAGAAGAACGAGAAGUUCUUUUGGGGGAAAGCCCAAGAUAAGGCUUUCCAAUUGCUGAAACACAAACUCACACAUGCACCACUUCUUGCAAUACCUAACUUUGAUCUCACUUUUGAAGUGGAAUGUGAUGCAUCAGGAAUAGGAGUAGGAGCAGUACUCAUGCAAGGAGGGAGAUCGAUUGCCUACUUUAGUGAGAAAUUAAAUGGCGCGGUCCUCAACUAUUCAACUUAUGACAAGGAGAUGUUUGCCCUCGUAUUUGCUUUGGAGACAUGGCAACACUACCUACGUGCCUGGGAAUUCGUCAUCAAAACUGACCAUGAGUAUCUCAAGCACCUAAAAGGACAACAAAACUGAGCAAACGGCAUGCCCGAUGGGUAGCCUUCAUCGAGUCUUUUCCAUACGUUAUCAAAUACAAAACAGGUAAGUCUAAUGUAGUGGCUGAUGCUUUAUCUCGUAGACACAUUUUGCUCACUACUUUAGAUGCUAAACUCCUAGGCUAUGAGCUCAUGAAGGAGUUGUAUAAGGAUGACUUGGAUUUUGCGAACGCUUAUACGAAUUGGGGAAAAACUGACUUUGAAAAAUUCUUUGUGCAUGAUGGGUUCUUAUUUUAUCUUACCAAGUUGUGCAUCCCUCGAGGGUCUAUACGUGACUUACUUAUUCAGGAGUCACAUAGUGGUGGACUAAUGGGACACUUUGGUGUCACCAAGACAUUAGCUGUAUUGCAGGAACACUUCCAUUGGCUUCGCAUGCGCAAGAACGUGGAGAGGAUUGUUGAAAGAUGUGGCGUGUGUCACAAAGCUAAGUCUCGGGUCAACCCAAACGGUUUGUAUACUCCUUUAACCAUACCUCACCACUCUUGGGUUGAUAUUUCCAUGGAUUUCGUGCUUGGUUUACCUCGUUCUAAGCAUGGCCAUGACUCUAUAUUUGUUGUGGUAGAUAGGUUCUCUAAAAUGGCUCACUUUAUUGCAUGUCAUAAGACGGAUGAUGCUUUACACAUUGCUGACUUAUUCUUUAAAGAGGUUAUUCGUUUGCAUGGCAUACCUAGGACUAUAGUAUCCGAUAGAGAUGUCAAGUUUUUGAGCUAUUUUUGGAAAUCUUUAUGGGGUUGGUUGGGAACCAAACUGUUGUUCUCUACCUCUAGUCAUCCUCAAACGGACGGACAAAUUGAGGUAGUCAAUAGGACUUUAUCUACACUCCUACGUGCAAUCAUAAAGAAAAAUAUCAAGUCAUGGGAGGAGUGUCGACCUCAUGUUGAGUUUGCAUACAAUAGGGUUGUGCAUAGUGCUACACAAUUCUCGCCUUUUGAAAUUGUGUAUGGUUUUAACCCCUUAACUCCCUUAGAUUUGUUGCCAUUACCUUCUUCUGAGCAUAUAAACUUAGAUGGCAAGAAGAAAGCUGAGUUCGUGAGAUCAAUACAUGACAAGGUUCGUACCAACAUCGAGAGGAGGAUGGCCCAAUAUAUCCAACAAGCUAUAAUAAGCACAGGCGCAAGCUUGUCUUUGAACCAGGUGAUUGGGUCUGGUUACAUUUGCGCAAGGAGAGAUUUCCAAAACAACGGCAAAGCAAGCUGUCACCAAGAGGAGAUGGGCCUUUACAAGUCAUUGAGCGCAUCAACGACAAUGCAUACCACUUAGAUCUGCCUAGUGAGUAUAAUGUUAGUGCUACAUUCAAUGUUGCUGAUCUAAGUCCAUUUAUUGCAGGGGACGAGUACGAUUUGAGGGCAAAUCCUUUUCAAGAGGAGGGGAAUGAUGCGGUUGAGCACGAGAUCCAAAGUGUUCAAAUAGACCCUGUGAAGGUGCCCCAAGGCCCAGUGACACGAGCACGAGCUAAGAGAUUCAAGGAGUCCCUCCAAGCUUUGGUCCGUGCCGUCCAAGCUCAAGAGAAACCGGCCAUUGAAGGAAUUGAAUUGGAAGAUCCUUGCACGACUACUAAAAUGCUGCUUACAAUUGAAGAUGCAAGUGUUCAAGCUCCAAACGGCGGGCUGAGUCGUAGUUAAGUACCCUCGCUGAGCCGUAUGGGGAUCAAGCACACACACUUGAUCCUAGGCUGUUCUUGACUUAUCAAUCAAGCACACAUACUUGAUUGUGGCGUCCUCUACCGUUAAAUCUGUUCUUGAGUGGUCCAAGUUCGGGUUCAACUCCAUCAAAUCUUCAACGUGUUCCUCUAGAUCCGAAAUAGCUUCCGCGUCUCGCAUCAUACUUGCUUUCCUUAUGUUUUAUAUGAUUUAUUUGAUUAUAAUCACUGUGUGACGUCACCACGCUAGCCCAACGCUAGUUGUGGCCCCUCUCCCGAUUCCACACUAGUCCAACGCUAGUUGUGCCCCCUUAGUCCGAUUUCUCACAAGUCCAACGCUAGUGAGAAAAUAGAGACAUGGGCUAGUCCAACGCUAGACCCUUAGGGACUGCCCUCGCGCUAGAUCAUAUUUGUGUGACAAUCAUCACAUUUUCAUGCAUAUUUUAGGUUUUUUUUAUCACUUUUGCAUGACCUUUCCAUUGUAUACACAUCUCUCAUCCCAUAUUUUCCUUAUAUAUGUCCCCCUUAUCCUAUAUUUUCCUCUAUAUUACCCUAUGUGUGGGACAUGCCAUUAGACUUGCAUUUCAUAUAAGAAAAAUUAGAGAUAGGUUAGUACAUUUGUUUGAUUAGAUUAGGCAAUACCCCUCGAAUAUGGGAUAUGGACGAGUGUGACUUUCUAACCUUAGCACGCUUGUAUUCCCUCUAUAAAAGGGAAAAUUUAUUCACGAAUCAUAGUCCCUCCCUGCACCCGUUAUGAUGCAAUUCCUUUAGGUCAUGAAUGCUCAUAUAUCAUUAUUUUAUUUUAUUUUAUUUUUCUUCGAGUCUCAUAUAUUGCACAUUCGUUGCGAGAACCCGAAAAUUUUCUUAUUUCCAGGCAGUAUUUUAUUUCCUUGCACACAUUUUCUAUAUUUUCCUUUAUUAUAUUAAUUUUCUAGAUAUUUUUAUAAGUGGGUAUAGUGUUUAAAUCAUUUUUCUAGAAUAAGUUAGUUCAUGCGCCAUUAGAAGCAUAUAUUGGAUGUGGGACCCUCUAGUGCGUUAAGUGCGAUGAAUUUUUAUGACCAGGUAAAGUUUUGUAUUAAGGGAUAUUAUUUUACAAGGUGGCAGGAGACAAUUAGAGGUUAGCUAGAUAGAUUAACCAUUGGGAGAAAGAAGAUAAGCUUAAACCCUAAAAGGUGCCAAGUGUCGCGACCUGAUUGGAGUUGGAGUUGGACUUUGACCAAAGGUUUCACAACUUUCCUAAAACUAAUUUUGACCAAGAUUUUUCUCAUUUUCUCCCUUGCUUGGCCGGCCACCUUGAGAGGAAAAACCAAGAGAGUUUCUUCAACUUCAACUUCAAGUCUUGCUCAAAUCUUGAGUUUCAACCGUUGAAUCAUCAAAUUACUCCAUCAAAGUUGCUUACUAAGGAGGAUUAAAGCUUUUAGUGGAGUAAAUUUGGGAGGAAGAAGCCUAAGCUACUGUCUUUCUUGAGGUUUCAAGGUACUUUGCUUAGAAAUUUCCUCUUUGUUUUACUAAUGGCAAAUUAGUGACUAAAUAUGUUGUUUUGUGGAAGAUUUCAUGGUUUAAAGUAGAGUUUUGAUAAAUUUCAGAUUUAUUGGUGAUUUUUCUGUCCUCAUAUGAUGAGCAAUGGUUGGCUUGAUAGUUUGUUAUGUGAAAUAUUGAAGCUUGAUAGGCUAGUAUACUUUGCCUAAAGAAAUUUCAGCUUAGGGUGCAUAAAUUUCAGAUUUAGGGUUUCCAAUUUUGGUGUAAUUGUGGUGGAUUUGGGAGUUACUAAUUGUACAUGAAGGGUAUUGCGACCCCAAUUUAGUGUGUUAAAUGGUUUAUGAUUUGUAUGUGAAAUUGUUGUUGAAUUGAGAUGAGAUUGGGUGGAUGUUAGGUUGGAAAAGUAAAGAAAAACAAGGGAAGGGCUGCUGAAAUUUUUGCAGCACCCUUUAGCAGUUUUGGAAAAUCUGUUGUAUCUUGAUGAAGAAAAAUCGAAAUUAAGUUCGUUUAUUGCCUUUGAAACUAGAUUCAUAGAGCUACAAACCAUGAAAAUUUCGGACCCUAGUUCUGUCUGUGUGAUUUAUGGUGAUUUUCCAAAGUUGACUGAAAUUACAUACCUGUUCUGUCUUUUACUGGAUGAAGUAGCGACUUGAGGCUCGAAUUUGACUGACUUGUGGUAUGAAUCUUAUAAAUGUGUCUUUUGAGAAAUUGUAUUCCUUUGAGUCUAUUUUCCGACGGUAUAAAUUUUAUCAAUUUUGGACUUAAGAAUCUUGAGAUAUGAUUUUUAAAAUGGUGGUGUGCAAAACUUGAUACGUUCCUCGAUCAACUCGUUUCGAGACACGUAGCACGUUUGCCCAAGGAUCUAGCGAGGUUGUCCAACGCUUGGUUUGCGGAACCUAGAGUCAAUACGGACGGCACGAUUUGACUUAGGUGGUAGACGACACUCCGAUGAAGGUGAAUACUCCAGGGGAAUAGGUCGGAUGAACAAUCAAGGACAGGACGCAAGAUUGCUCAAUAACCCUUGCCAAAGCAAGGAAUAGGUCGGACGAAUUUUGUCUUAGUUUUCCUUAUUUCCGCUGCACUUGUCUCAAAAAAAAAAAAAAAAUUCUGUUCGUGUGUUUUCUUGUGUUGCAAAUCUGUCCGCUGUUUAGUACGUCAUUGUUGCGACCAAUUCUUGAUCAAAGUUGUGCCUAAUCUGUCCGUAGUUCUUGUUCUUGUUGCGCCUUUGUUAGUCACAAAAUUCUGUUUGCGUCGCUUGUCAAAAAAAAAAAAAAAAGAUUUCUGUCCGUUAGUUCUUGUCUUUUGGUCGCGUCAAUUUCUGGUCAGUUGUGUGUUUGGUGCUAGUCCCAAUCUGCCCAAAUUUCGUACUCUCGUGGCAUCUAUUCUGCCCAGCACUUAGCCAUAGCCGAAUCUGCACAAAAAAAAAAGGAAGACGGCUAGGGUUUUCCAAGUUGCGACUAGGGUUUGGUCUUUGUUGUGAAAUCUGUCCAAAUAGUUAUUGUUAUCCAAGUGGUUUGCUUAACUUGCCUAAACUGAUUUGGGGACAAAUACUUGUUCGGUUGGUGAAUCUUGAAGAAAAUCUACACGGCUUCUAAGAUUCUUGAAGUAAUAUCACCAUCUUGAAAUUCUUGAAAGUCUUGGAGAAACCUUGUUAGUUUGAGGGAGUAGGGUGGUGCGUUCUUGUGUGUUGAGGGCAGACCUUAUUUCUGGGAUUUUUCACUCAUUCGGCCAAGAAAUUGUGUUGUCUUUAAGUCCAAAAAAAAAAAAUAGAAACGCAAGAGAAAAGAGAAAAAAAAAAAAACAUUCGGACAACAAGAAACAAAGAAGGAAGCCGUAUUAUUAUUAUUGUCAAAUCUGUCUUGAUACUUCUUGUUCCAACCCAAACCAGGAAAUUACAGCAAGGAAAAAAGAAAAGAAUUCAGAAGUUUUUGCCAACCUCUUCUUGAAAAUCUUGAUCACCUUGGAUCUUGAUCACUUGUGUCACCUUUUGGGAUUCUUGAGGGUCUUGUUUAUCUUGGGGUUUGAAGACUUGCACUUCCCUUCGUAUAAAGAGUUUUUUGUAAGAUCUUGCAUCCAUACGAGGCUUCCUUGGGUUAGGAGUGAAUUUCUUGGGAGAUUCUUGAGUAACGAUACUUGCUUUACCUUGGGAGUCCAUUGGAGCCGAAUUUCUGGACUAACAAGAACCAAACCUGUCUUGUAGGAGAGAGGGCCGAAUUUCUUGUUCUUGGAGUAGAGAGGGAGCCGAAUUGCUUGGGUAAGUUGCGGCUGUGAAGAGGGAGUUUAAUAGGAAGUGUAACCGACUUAGGGAAGGGUUUCUAGGAGGGAAGAAUUCUGGAAAUUUCGGUUGAGGGGGGGAACAAAUCUGUUUAGGAGUCCCAACUCUUACUUGCUUUCCAAAUUAGUUAGGAGACUAAGUAAUAUACUUGGAUAACUCGUGGACACCUCCUAUAUUUUCUCCACCAUUUUAGGAUAUUCUCCAUAUUCUCUCAUCCACUUUAGGAAACCACUCCUACAUCUUAGGAUUCUUGGAGUUUCCUUUCUUUCCAAAUCUGUCCACCGUCCCCAAGCCUUCCAAAACCGUCCUUUCCUUCACAAAAUUUCAUCCACUUGCAUCCUUCACUCUUGUUUACUCUUGUGGGAAAAGUUGGUGACAAAUUGUUGGACUCGAGCAACAUUUCUCAACUACCUAAACCAACAGGUAAGGUACUUGGUAAGUUUUAUAGAGCGACUUGAGCACUAUACACGAGAGAGAAAGAUACACUCAGGGAGUGAAGUGAGGAUUACAUUUGCACUUUCUUUGCUUGUUACUAACCUUUGCAGGGGCAUCAAGCGAGACAUGGAGCAACAAGCAACCACCGAUCACUCCUUGUUGUUCGCCGCAAUGAAGAAUGAGCUAAGGCGAAUCAGUGACCAACAAAUGGAGACGUUACACACUCGUUUUGACGAGUUGUCCAGGAGUCUUACACGAGGCUCUCGUUCUAGAUCCCACAAUCGGAGUAACAACAGCACCAAAGAGGCAAAUGGCGAAGAUUACUCCGCUAGUGAGGAUGAGGGGCGACCCGAGAGGUCUACAAGGGACACGCCCAAGAACGAACUCAAGGGGCUUAAGAUUCAAGUCCCCGCAUUCAAAGGCAAAAGUGACCCUGAAGCUUACUUAGAGUGGGAAGGCCGUAUCGAGAUGGUCUUCGACUGCUACGACUACAGUGAGGAACAAAAGGUUAAGGUUGCCACCGAGUUCACCGACUAUGCACUAGUCUGGUGGGACCAAGUAAGGACCAAUAGGAGGAGGAUGGGAGAGCCACGUGUCCGGACUUGGCACGAACUCAAGGCACUGCUACGCAAGCGAUUUGUUCCUAGCUAUUACAACCGUGAUCUCCACUCUAAGCUUCAAACUCUCACGCAAGGCAACAUGAGUGUGGAGGACUACUACAAAGAAAUUGAGAUGGCCAUGAUGAGGGCCAACAUUCAAGAAGACAAUGAGGCCACGAUGGCUCGGUUUCUUAGAGGUCUCAAUCCUGACCUUCAAGAAGCCUUGGAGCUCCAACAUUACUUGGACAUGCACGACCUUCUAGAACUCGCUAUUAAGGCCGAGCGGGGGAAGAAACUAAGACGCGGAGUACGUACGUUCCAAACUUCUAACACCACUUCAUGGAGGGGCAACCAACCACGAAGGGCGACCCACGAAGUUGGAAAUGCGGCAGCACCAACCUCUUCUAACCGAAUCCAAGGUAACACCUCUAACCGCCAUUCCUAUUCUACCCCUGACAAGGUUUCCGAUGCAUCCAGGUCCACUUCAAAGGCACCACAUGAGACUCCUAAGACUAGGAGUAGGGACAUCAAGUGCUUCAAGUGCCAAGGGUUUGGACAUAUUCAAUCUCACUGCCCAAACCAACGGGUCAUGCUCAUCACUCACAAUGGCGAAAUCGUGUCUGAUGAUGACGAAUGUGAGGAGAUGCCCGAACUGGUCGAAGACGACUGCCUAGAAGAGGAGUCAGCUGGGGAGGCUUGCUCGCCUACACGAGGAGAAGUAGGUUGCUUGGUGGCACGGCGAGUGCUAACCGCCCGCGUUAAGGAGGACGAGCAGCUACAACGCGAAAACCUUUUCUACACCCGCUGUAAGAUAGGCGACAAGGUGUGUAGUCUCAUCAUCGACGGUGGGAGUUGCACGAACGUGGCCAGUUUGCUCAUGGUUGAGAGUCUAGGACUCCCCACUACCAGGCAUCCAAGUGAGGAUGGUUAAGUGAGGAUGGUGAGGUACGAGUCUUCAAACAGGUACGCAUUCCCUUUUCAAUUGGUACUUACACUGAUGAAAUCGUGUGCAACGUAGUACCAAUGCAUGCUACGCAUAUCAUUUUGGGAAGGCCCUGGCAAUUUGACAAACACGUCACAUUCGAUGGAAGAGCAAAUAAGUACACCCUUUUGCACGAUGGCAAACGUAAGGUCCUUACACCUCUCACACCUGCACAAGUUUAUGAGGACCAACUACUAUUGCAAAGGGAGUGUGAACAAGACCGUCAAAGAAGGAAACUAAAGGCAGUCGACCCUGGUAAAGGCUCCACGUCUACGAGUGAGCCAUCAACCAAGGGUCAAGGGAGCACACCUAGGGGUAUACAUGACAAAUCACCUACCGCACCUACCACUAGGAAGCACAACAUGAUUAUUAAGGCUAAAGAUGUUAGAAAAGUGGUGAACUCUAAUUAGCCUAUACUUCUCAUGAUUUGCAAGCAUGUGCUCUUGGAUGUUGCUGAGCUCGACAAGGCGUUGCCUGCGAGCAUAGUUGCUCUUUUGCAAGAAUUUGGGGAUGUUUUCCCUGACGAGGUCCCUGAUGGCUUACCACCCAUUCGGGGAAUUGAACACCAAAUCGACCUCAUUCCUGGAGCACCAUUGCCCAACAAACCUGCUUACCGCAUGGGCCCUGAGGAGACCAAGGAGCUUCAAAGGCAAGUUGAUGGCCUCUUAGGUAAGGGUUGGGUAAAGGAAAGUCUAAGUCCUUGCGCUGUGCCUGUGAUACUUGUUCCCAAAAAGGACGGUACUUGGCGCAUGUGCACCGACUGUCGGGCUGUGAACGCUAUCACUGUCAAAUAUCGUCAUCCCAUUCCUAGACUUGAUGAUAUACUUGAUGAACUCAAUGGUGCCAUUAUUUUCACCAAAAUAGACUUAAGGAGCGGCUAUCAUCAAAUUCGGAUGAAAGAAGGCGCCGAGUGGAAAACAGCCUUCAAAACCAAACAUGGUCUCUAUGAGUGGCUAGUCAUGCCUUUUGGCUUAACUAAUGCCCCUAGCACCUUCAUGCGACUAAUGAACCAUGUGUUGAGACACUUUAUUGGCAAGUUUGUCAUUGUUUACUUUGAUGACAUCCUGAUCUAUAGUCAUAGUGAGCAUGAGCACCUAGAGCAUGUGAGAUUAGUUCUUGAGACACUUCGACAGGCGCAUCUUUACGCCAACCUCAAGAAGUGCACCUUUUGUACUAACGAGCUUGUGUUUUUAGGCUAUGUGGUAAGUUCGCAGGGCAUCAAGGUGGACAAAUCCAAGAUUGAGGCCAUCGAAGCAAUGGCCAACUCCCACGUCCGUCCCUGACGUGCGCAGCUUUCUUGGAUUGGCGGGCUUUUACCGGCGCUUUGUCAAAGAUUUUAGCACCAUUGCCGCCCCGUUGACCGCCGUGACAAAGAAGAAUGACAAGUUCCACUGGGGAGAAUCACAAGAACAAGCAUUUCUCGCCCUCAAGGACACACUCACACAUGCACCUGUGUUAGCAUUACCAAAUUUUCACAAGACUUUUGAAAUUGAAUGUGAUGCUUCUGGUGUAGGUAUUGGAGCGGUCCUCAUGCAAGACAAGAGGCCUUGUGCCUUCUUUAGUGAGAAACUGGGGGGAGCUGCAUUAAACUACCCCACGUACGACAAGGAGUUGUACGCAUUAGUGAGGGCUUUGGAGACUUGGCAACACUAUCUUCGCCCUCGGGAGUUCGUGAUACACACUGAUCACGAGUCAUUGAAGUACCUCAAGGGACAACCCAAGUUAAGCAAGCGACAUGCCAAAUGGGUAAGCUUCAUUGACACCUUUUCGUAUGUCAUUAAGUAUAAGACUGGCAAAA
This 39482-nucleotide long non-coding RNA is filed under the name Coffea arabica (coffee). RNAcentral's name for it is "long non-coding RNA (CARA_LNC000424)". Lineage: Eukaryota; Viridiplantae; Streptophyta; Magnoliopsida; Gentianales; Rubiaceae. The record is from RNAcentral.